RNAcentral lists this ribosomal RNA (500 nucleotides) under uncultured bacterium. RNAcentral's name for it is "partial 16S ribosomal RNA". It matches the Rfam family "Bacterial small subunit ribosomal RNA", at positions 28 to 523 of the family's 1533-position model. The record is from RNAcentral.
GAUGAACGCUGGCGGCACGCCUUACACAUGCAAGUCGAACGGCAGCACGGGUGCUUGCACCUGGUGGCGAGUGGCGAACGGGUGAGUAAUACAUCGGAACGUACCUUAUCGUGGGGGAUAACGCAGCGAAAGCUGUGCUAAUACCGCAUACGCCCUGAGGGGGAAAGCGGGGGAUCGAAAGACCCCGCGCGAUUAGAGCGGCCGAUGCCUGAUUAGCUUGUUGGUGGGGUAAAAGCCCACCAAGGAGACGAUCAGUAGCUGGUCUGAGAGGACGAUCAGCCGCACUGGGACUGAGACACGGCCCAGACUCCUACGGGAGGCAGCAGUGGGGAAUUUUGGACAAUGGGGCAACCCUGAUCCAGCAAUGCCGCGUGAGUGAAGAAGGCCUUCGGGUUGUAAAGCUCUUUUGUCAGGGAAGAAACAGCAGCUCUAACACAGUCUGCGAAUGACGGUACCUGAAGAAUAAGCACCGGCUAACUACGUGCCAGCAGCCGCCGUAA